RNAcentral lists this ribosomal RNA (325 nucleotides) under uncultured eukaryote. RNAcentral describes it as "partial 18S ribosomal RNA". It matches the Rfam family "Eukaryotic small subunit ribosomal RNA", at positions 1470 to 1796 of the family's 1831-position model. The record is from RNAcentral.
CCCUUAGAUGUCCUGGGCCGCACGCGCGCUACACUGAUGCAUUCAACGAGUUUUACCUUGGCCGAGAGGCCUGGGCAAUCUUUUAAACCUGCAUCGUGAUAGGGAUAGAUUAUUGCAAUUAUUAAUCUUGAACGAGGAAUUCCUAGUAAACGCAAAUCAUCAAUUUGCAUUGAUUACGUCCCUGCCCUUUGUACACACCGCCCGCCGCACCUACCGAUUGAAUGGUCCGGUGAAGCCUCGGGAUUGUGGCCAGUUCACUUUAUUGGGAGUUGGCUGUGAGAACUUGUCUAAACCUUAUCAUUUAGAGGAAGGUGAAGUCGUAACA